AAUGAAGGAGUGAAGAAGCAUGGAGAUUAGUUGUCGGAUUUUUGAAGGGAUUGUGGUGAUGCUCUUCGGCCGGCUAGCUGUGGAGAAGUAUACACUAUACAGGGCAAUAAUGUCACUUGGUUUGGCUUGUUUGGUUUUUAUUAAUACUUUGGUUGUGUCAAUAUGCUUUGUGGAAGGAGUUUUGGUAGUUGAGACAGAAGAAGAGUGUGGUGUUUUGUUGGAAAGGGAAGGCUCUUUCAAAGUAUUUGGGGAUAUUUUCCUCUUUAAGAUGAUGUGAGGUGUAAAUAGUUCAUAUGAGGUUUAUGUGGUGAUGUUAUGAGGCUUAAUAGUUUGAUAUUUUGCCGUAGGAGGGACUCGAAUUCUGAAAUUGUUAUACAGUACCCAACACAUAAAUAUAAUCUAAAUUCUAAU
Molecule: long non-coding RNA, 411 nt
Filed under: Linum usitatissimum (flax)
Lineage: Eukaryota; Viridiplantae; Streptophyta; Magnoliopsida; Malpighiales; Linaceae
Description: long non-coding RNA (LUSI_LNC007800)
Source: RNAcentral